This 956-nucleotide ribosomal RNA is filed under the name uncultured Massilia sp. RNAcentral describes it as "bacterial SSU rRNA". It matches the Rfam family "Bacterial small subunit ribosomal RNA", at positions 547 to 1509 of the family's 1533-position model. The record is from RNAcentral. Lineage: Bacteria; Pseudomonadati; Pseudomonadota; Betaproteobacteria; Burkholderiales; Oxalobacteraceae.
GGAAUUACUGAGCGUAAAGCGUGCGCAGGCGGUUUGUAAGUCUGUCGUGAAAUCCCCGGGCUUAACCUGGGAAUUGCGAUGGAGACUGCAAGGCUAGAAUCUGGCAGAGGGGGGUAGAAUUCCACGUGUAGCAGUGAAAUGCGUAGAGAUGUGGAGGAACACCGAUGGCGAAGGCAGCCCCCUGGGUCAAGAUUGACGCUCAUGCACGAAAGCGUGGGGAGCAAACAGGAUUAGAUAUCCUGGUAGUCCACGCCCUAAACGAUGUCUACUAGUUGUCGGGUCUUAAUUGACUUGGUAACGCAGCUAACGCGUGAAGUAGACCGCCUGGGGAGUACGGUCGCAGGAUUAAAACUCAAAGGAAUUGACGGGGACCCGCACAAGCGGUGGAUGAUGUGGAUUAAUUCGAUGCAACGCGAAAAACCUUACCUACCCUUGACAUGGCAGGAACCUUGGAGAGAUCUGAGGGUGCCCGAAAGGGAACCUGCACACAGGUGCUGCAUGGCUGUCGUCAGCUCGUGUCGUGAGAUGUUGGGUUAAGUCCCGCAACGAGCGCAACCCUUGUCAUUAGUUGCUACGCAAGAGCACUCUAAUGAGACUGCCGGUGACAAACCGGAGGAAGGUGGGGAUGACGUCAAGUCCUCAUGGCCCUUAUGGGUAGGGCUUCACACGUCAUACAAUGGUACAUACAGAGGGCCGCCAACCCGCGAGGGGGAGCUAAUCCCAGAAAGUGUAUCGUAGUCCGGAUUGUAGUCUGCAACUCGACUACAUGAAGUUGGUAUCGCUAGUAAUCGCGGAUCAGCAUGUCGCGGUGAAUACGUUCCCGGGUCUUGUACACACCGCCCGUCACACCAUGGGAGCGGGUUUCACCAGAAGUAGGUAGCUUAACCGCAAGGAGGGCGCUUACCACGGUGGGAUUCGUGACUGGGGUGAAGUCGUAACAAGGUAACCAAUCUAGA